RNAcentral lists this ribosomal RNA (495 nucleotides) under uncultured bacterium. RNAcentral describes it as "partial 16S ribosomal RNA". It matches the Rfam family "Bacterial small subunit ribosomal RNA", at positions 28 to 507 of the family's 1533-position model. The record is from RNAcentral.
GACGAACGCUGGCGGCGUGCCUAAUACAUGCAAGUCGAACGCUGAAGGAGGAGCUUGCUUCUCUGGAUGAGUUGCGAACGGGUGAGUAACGCGUAGGUAACCUGCCUUGUAGCGGGGGAUAACUAAUGGAAACGAUAGCUAAUACCGCAUAAGAGUAGAUGUUGCAUGACCUUUGCUUAAAAGGUGUAAUUGCAUCACUACCAGGUGGUCCUGCGUUGUAUUAGCUAGUUGGUGGGGUAACGGCUUACCAAGGCGACGAUACAUAGCCGACCUGAGUGGGGGAUUGGACACUCUGGGACGGAGACAGGGCCCAGACACAUUCGUGAGGCAGCAGUAGGGGAUGUUCAGUGAUGGACGGAAGUCUGACCGAGCAAGGCAGCGUGCGUGAAGAAGGUAUGCGUUUCGGAUGGCACCGUCGUAAGCGAGGAACGAGGGUGUGCGUGGAAAGUUCACAGGUUGACGGUAGCUGACCAGAAAGGGACGGCUAACUACGUG